AAAGUCCUUCGGGAUGAGUAGAGCGGCGCACGGGUGAGUAAUACAUAGGAACGUACCUUCUAGUGGGGAAUAACCACGGGAAACUGUGGCUAAUACCGCAUAAUGACGUGAGUCGAAAGCCGGCCUCUAUUUAUAAGCUGGCGCUAGUAGAGCGGCCUAUGUCCCAUUAGCUAGUUGGUAGGGUAAUGGCCUACCAAGGCUACGAUGGGUAACUGGUCUGAGAGGAUGAUCAGUCACACUGGGACUGAGACACGGCCCAGACUCC
This 265-nucleotide ribosomal RNA is filed under the name uncultured bacterium. RNAcentral's name for it is "partial 16S ribosomal RNA". It matches the Rfam family "Bacterial small subunit ribosomal RNA", at positions 72 to 339 of the family's 1533-position model. The record is from RNAcentral.